UAGGGAAUCUUCGGCAAUGGGGGGAACCCUGACCGAGCAACGCCGCGUGAGUGAAGAAGGUUUUCGGAUCGUAAAGCUCUGUUGUUAAGGAAGAACGAGUGUGAGAAUGGAAAGUUCAUACUGUGACGGUACUUAACCAGAAAAGGACGGCUAACUACGUGCCAGCAGCCGCGGUAAUACGUAGGUCCCGAGCGUUGUCCGGAUUUAUUGGGCGUAAAGCGAGCGCAGGCGGUUAGAUAAGUCUGAAGUUAAAGGCAGUGGCUCAACCAUUGUAGGCUUUGGAAACUGUUUAACUUGAGUGCCACAGGGGAGAGUGGAAUUCCAUGUGUAGCGGUGAAAUGCGUAGCUAUAUGGAGGAACACCGGUGGCGCAAGCGGCUCUCUGGUCUGUAACUGACUCUGAGGCUUGAAAGCGUGAUGAGCGAACACG
RNAcentral lists this ribosomal RNA (429 nucleotides) under Bacteroidota bacterium. Its description in RNAcentral is "Bacteroidetes bacterium partial 16S ribosomal RNA". It matches the Rfam family "Bacterial small subunit ribosomal RNA", at positions 355 to 776 of the family's 1533-position model. The record is from RNAcentral. Lineage: Bacteria; Pseudomonadati; Bacteroidota.